This is an RNA transcript of Neopsephotus bourkii (Bourke's parrot), 5637 nucleotides long. It is a transcript of the gene named QKI, KH domain containing RNA binding, with no coding region annotated. NCBI's taxonomy places the organism in Eukaryota, Metazoa, Chordata, Aves, Psittaciformes, Psittacidae. The record is from RefSeq and is a predicted model, not a curated record. The transcript has 9 exons.
AGGCGGCGGCAGGGCUGAGACUCACCAGCCACAGGCGGCGGCGGGAGGGCGGGCGGGCGCGAGGCGGAGCGGAGGACACGCCAGGCGCAGCGCGGCGGCAACAACAGCGGCGGCGGCGGCAACAGCGGAGAGAUACCGGCGGCGGCUCCUUGGAAGCGGCAGCAGCGCCCGCCCGCCCCACUCGUCCCUUCCCUCACCCGCCGCGGAGACAGGGGGCAGCGCGGAGAGGAGAAGCCGGGCUCGGCGUGUGUGUGCGCGGGAGGAGGCGGAGGGGGGACACACCGAGGACUGCGCCGGCCGAGGGCGCACGGAGCAGGGAAGCAGCGGCGGCAGCACCGAGAGGCGGCGGCGGGUCCUUGUGCCCCGGCGAGGAGGGCGCAGCCCGCACGGGCUUUUCUAUCGAGUUUCCUCUUUUUUUUUCAUUCCCUCGGACUCGGCGUCGGGGCUGCGUUUGUCUCCGGAUUUGAAUCCUCCUCCUCCUCCUCCUUCCUCGGGGAAGCUCCCCUCCCCGCCCCCUCCCCUCCCCCACCGCCUCCCCGCCCGCCCGGAUCCAGCCGGGCGCCCCGUGCCGCGGUCGCGUUGCUCGGCGGAGCUGCUGCGGGCGCUCGCCGUCUCUGCGCGGGCUUGGAAUAUGGUUGGGGAAAUGGAAACCAAGGAGAAGCCGAAGCCGAGCCCCGAUUACCUGAUGCAGCUGAUGAACGACAAGAAGCUGAUGAGCAGCCUCCCCAACUUCUGCGGGAUCUUCAACCACCUCGAGAGGCUGCUGGACGAAGAAAUUAGCAGAGUACGGAAAGACAUGUAUAACGACACAUUAAAUGGUAGUACGGAGAAGAGAAGUGCAGAAUUACCAGAUGCUGUGGGACCUAUUGUACAGUUGCAAGAGAAACUAUAUGUGCCUGUAAAAGAAUAUCCAGAUUUUAACUUUGUUGGAAGAAUCCUUGGGCCCAGAGGACUAACAGCUAAACAGCUUGAGGCAGAAACAGGAUGCAAGAUAAUGGUCCGAGGGAAGGGCUCUAUGAGGGACAAAAAGAAGGUCUCCUUUAAGAGCAGAGACAACCAUGAUCCAGCAGUUUUGGAGGUAGAGGCAAAACAGAACCGGGGCAAGCCCAACUGGGAACACCUGAAUGAAGAUUUACAUGUACUUAUCACUGUGGAGGAUGCUCAGAACAGAGCAGAAAUAAAGCUGAAGAGGGCUGUUGAAGAAGUAAAAAAGUUACUGAUACCCGCAGCAGAAGGAGAAGACAGCCUUAAAAAGAUGCAGCUGAUGGAGCUUGCAAUUCUGAAUGGCACCUACAGAGAUGCCAACAUCAAAUCACCAGCCCUUGCCUUUUCUCUUGCAGCAACAGCCCAGGCUCCAAGGAUUAUUACUGGGCCUGCGCCUGUUCUCCCACCAGCUGCCCUGCGUACUCCUACGCCAGCUGGCCCUACCAUAAUGCCUUUGAUCAGACAAAUACAAACCGCUGUCAUGCCAAACGGAACUCCUCAUCCCACUGCUGCAAUAGUUCCACCUGGACCCGAAGCUGGUUUAAUUUACACACCAUAUGAAUACCCCUACACGCUGGCACCAGCUACAUCAAUCCUUGAGUAUCCUAUUGAACCUAGUGGUGUAUUAGGUAUGGCUUUCCCAACGAAAGGCUAAGAAUUCAAGAACGGUCUUAACUGAUCCUUCAUCAGAUCUGAAUUUUAACAAAUGCUUAGUUUUCAGCAGCCUUGAAAAAAGCUUGGCCUAGCAGUCAGUGACUUACUUGCACUUUUUUGCACAUAGAUUUAAAAUAAAAAUAGUGCUAUUAAUUGGAUUAGCUCCUAUUAUUACAGAGUAGCUGUAAUUUAUGAGUGUAUAGUAGUAUACUGACUGCUAAGUGUUCUAUAUAGUGUUUGCUUUACUAAUCACCUAAUUCAUUGCAGUUCAUACUUAUUGACUUAAAGUUUAAAAUCACAAUCUGUAGGCUUGAAGAAUUGCUUUAAAACUUUUUUGUGGUAGAACUGGAAGUGAUCUUAAGGUUAGCAAAUAAUUGUCAGUAUUAAAAGAUGGCAUUAUUUAAAAUAGUCCUGCUGCAAGAAAGGCACUUCAGUGAAUAUGUGACUAGUAAAGCUUAAAUGUGCUUGGGUCUAAUAGAUUUCAUGAAAUACUGUAAUUUUGGGAUUGUAAAUGAAUGGAUUAAACAGGUUAAGGCCAGGAUGUUUAAAAUAAAUGCAAUAUUAAUCUGCACAGAUAAACUUCUUUUUAAGAUUAAGAUUUGAAACUACUGUGCCUUAACUUGUUGCUUUUCUUAAAAUGAACUUUUGUAGUUAAUGAUCAUUUAAAUCCAUUUUGAUAAACCUGCUGUUAAUGUUUUCUUUGAAUGUUUUCUAACUUUGUCUUGGUAAUUGCAAUUUAACUAGGUGCGGUGGCUACUAAAGUUCGAAGGCACGAUAUGCGUGUCCAUCCUUACCAAAGGAUUGUGACCGCAGACCGAGCCGCCACCGGCAACUAACCUAUGACCUUCUGACCUCUGAACUCUUCACCCAAUGAUGACCUGACCAUGCCUGCCUGCUGAUCAGUUAACUGGUAAACGCCUUUGCUUGCCUGUCUUCAGUGCAGCGAGCUGGGGCACUUGUCCGUUCGUCUUACCAUCUAACAAAACAGACAAAGAAAUUGUUGUCCUCCAACUCCGCUUUUUGUUGUUCUCCUGUUUGGGUGAAAGUGGUUCUAGAACCUGCACUGAAUAGUAGUAAAGCAAUAAGGUCCAACUCAUCCCUCCGCACUGAUCAUCCUCUAGUGUCCUGCCCCAAGCGAACGGUAAGGAGGCCUCGCACGAGAUGGAGACAGAUGUCCCUUAACUACCCGAUGACAGAGGCAGUUACUGUGAGAGACUUCUAGGAAUAUUUUUCUUCUCAGAAAAAAAAAAAAAUAAAAAAAAAAAAGAGAAAAACUAAAAUAAGGAAGUCAAAGCUCUCUCUGAAUGUACUGUGUGAUGAUGCAUCAUGCAUGAACCUUUGGUCAGGGAUGUCAUUGGGGAAGGGAUUCCAAAAAGUAUUCAAAAUUUGAUAUGCUGUUUAGUCACUACCGGUGCCCUCAAAGGGCAGAUGUUGCAGCCUUUUUUUCUAUUGCCUGCCAAAUUGGACAUUUUAAAGGAAAGUGUGCCAUGAAAUGCAGAUGACGAUGACUUUUUAGAGCUACAUUAAUGCAGAGAACAAAACAGCAACACUAUUAAAACAAAAUCUGCGUUAAAUUACUUUAACCAUAUUUUAAUCUCCUCGGAAGAUUACAUGAGAACAAGGUACAUGCAUUAUGUGUCACAUUACUGGGCAAACUGUUCAAAUAUUUUUUUUAAAACCUCCCUGUAUAGAAAAAAAUUCAUUAAGGAUGUAAAAGCCAUGCUUGCCUAUUUGCUGUAUACAUGUAAUGAAAUUGUAGAUAAAGUGUAGUGCAUUGAAACAAAAUGAACAAAAAAGUAGAUACUUUUACUAUACAAGGGUGCUGGUGCAGAAAAAAAAAUAUAUUUUUUGAAAUGUAGCAUUUUAUACUUUCAAGUGUUAUAAAAAAAGAAAAAAAGAACAAAGAAACCCUUUAUUUCAUUAAAUGAUUUUUUCUGGUGGUUGUCAAGAAACAAAAGACCAAAAGAGCCUUUUAGUCUUUCUUUUUUAUUUUUUAAGUAUUGGAAUAAGUCUAAAGAAAAGGAAGUGCCUUAUUUUCUUCAUGGUCAUUUAGUCAAAUGUCUUGUAUAAUCAGCUUCUCCCUCAGACAAGUUACUGCAUGCCACUCAGUCGCCCAGUAUGUGAAAGAAGCUGUGAGGGAAGACAAAUGAUGAGUUGACCAUAUUAAUUACCUGAUUUUUGCCAUAACUAGUGUGACGUGACUUUGCCAAAAUCUCAUUUCAUAAAAUAUUUGUUAAGGUUUUGCCAAACCAGCCCAUUGGUAUUUCAACCACUCUACUUUUUAAAUCAUAGCAAAUGCCAUACUUGUGUAAUGUAAACCAAAGGGUUCCGUGAUACACUGUCUCAUGCUAAAUGAGACUAUUAGCUGACAAAAGCUUUUAGAGCUGGAAGUAUGUCAUUUUUGUUCAGGGAUGGAGAUGAGUAUUUUUGCUUUCGGUUAGAAUAAAUAUACAUCAAAUAUAGUAGGCUUUGGCAUCACCCAGAAAACUGAUGUUCUGUGGGUAAUGAAAUCGAAAGUGCUUAGCUGGUUUUCAGUGAUAGUCUGAGUAUGUCCCUGGUUUUCACAAGCAGCUCCUGCAGUGACAAACAGCAUGCAAGUUAUUUAUAUCAGUUCUUCCUUGAUUAUUGUUAGAUUUGCCCACUGGCUUUUCCUCAUAAGGUAAGCAGGAGAAAGACAUCAGUUAGUUUUUUGAAGUCCAGCUGUACUUUAUUUUUAACCCUUAUUUCCACGAGAUUCAUACAGCUGAGCAAUUGCAAGAGCUGAAGCUGUUGAACGCACAGUAUUUAAUUCUGACAACAUUAAGUAUUACUUUGUGUGGGGCUCAGUACUAAGCUUGGCAAAUAUCAGGUGAUAACUUUAUUCCCCUCUUGUCAACUUAUUCUCCUCCUGCAAAUCUUCACAGCUUCCAAAUGAAAGGUCAAUAGUAAGCUAAGAGGGCUUACAUUUUUAAGCACCUGCAUGGUGACCUCAUCUUACAUCUUGUCUCACCUGGAAAUAAUUAUCAGUUUAUUUACUAUGCAAUAGACAUUCAUCCUUGGUAUUCAGCUAGCUUUUUGUUUAUUGUGCCACUGGCUUUGUCUUCCUGUUACACAUACAGUUGUGUUGAUCUUAUUUACAGUAUAUGCUGUGCCAUUUUGAUUUAAUUUUGGUUGGUUGGUUGAAUAAACUUGCGACACUCAAAACAUUUGAAGAGAGAUUUGCUAAAACAAUACCAGUAUUUGAUCCAGUUUCAUCUCAACUAUGAUAAAACUUGGACAUUUUAGAUGUUUAUCAAAGGUCUUUUAGUGGGGCAGAGGGGAACUGUAUGAAAUAGACGUGUGACAUGUGAAAGUAAUGUUUGCUCUGAACAAACUUCUGAAAAUUUAGUUGACAAAAUUUUGGAUGAACUUAAAAAAAAAAAGCAUGACUUUGAAAUCUCUGAAUGCCUUGGUUCUCAGUAUUAUCAUUCUUUAAUUACUUUUUCUUUAUUAAAAUAAGUAGUUUUAAGACUUCUUUCUGACAGUAUUAUGUAAUUUUUUUAGAGUGGGUAGAUGGGAGUGUCGCUUGUAUGUAACCGUACAGAUGACAUGUAUUUGUCUAUUCUUUAUUAUCUUAGUAGUUUCAUGCAAUGUAUGUACCAUAACCAACCUAUUGCCUAUGAGAAACAUGUAAGAUAAUGUAUUUACAGCCAUUGUUACAAGUUUAUAAUGUAUUUUUCUAUCUUGUUUUAUAUGUAUGUUAUAUAACAUUCAAAAGAAUUUUUUUCCUGAUUGAGAAAAAAGGAUACAAAAUGCAAAACCCACAAUUUUGAUAACUGAAAAAUUGCCAAUUGUUUUGCAGUACUUUAUUAUAUUGGGAGUGUUGUCUUUCUUGGGCUUUUAGUUAGCUACUGGAUGAAUACAUUAGACAUAUUUGGGUUUUAGUUGGGUUUUUACAUAGCUUGCAUUUAAAUUCUUUGGUUCUUUGCUGUUUCUAUUAACCCAUAGCAUUAUUUUAAUAAAUGUUAUAAUACCAACCUA